UAAAAAAAUAUUAUUUUAUUAUUUUAUCGAUUUGUGUCAAAUUUUGAACCAGUCCAAAUUGGGACCGGCAAAAUUUAUUAAUUUAUAGAGAUUAUUAAUUUAUCGAGUAUUAAUUUAUAGAGGUUCUACUGUAUAUUGUUUAGUGUGGAUAAAAUGAAUAACCAAGUAUGUAUAAGUCUAAUAAUGUAUAUAACUGAAAGAAAAAGGUUUGGUAUAUGAAAAUGAUGGAUGAAGUCAAUCUAUGAAAAAAUACUACUGUAACCAAUCAUUUCACCGAUCAUAUGAGUCACUUGGAUAGACUCGGUUUAGUAUGAAAUUUAUGCGAUGGAGUAUUUUAUUUGAUUAUAUUGGUGUUUACGUUACUGUUUUCAUAUUUAUAUAUUCAAAAUAGUUAGGUGGGUCACCAAAAUCGUAUGUAAAAUCCAGUGGCAUAAUAUAUGGAGUUAGUUAAGCUAUUUUCUUAUUUUAUAUACCAAUAACCAUAAGUGCAAAACAGAUUGUAUUAAUAUAACCAUAUUUACUAUUAAUAAAAUAAGGAGUAGGUCCAAAAAAGUUAAAAUAACAACCUUUUGUAAGUAGAAAAAAUAGGAUUUUAAUUUAAUAGAUUAGAUCCUCACAUAAAAAGUUAAUUAAUGAUUAAUCGACUGCAAAUCUUGCACUUACGAGCGAUACAUAGAGUAUAUAAAGUUAUAAACCAAAUCCAUAGAUAAUUUUGUCACAAUGGCUUAACAAAUUUUUUAACUAGUUGUUCUUGUUUGAUCGUCAACAUAGGAAAAAAUAUAACCGGAAUGUAGACAAAAAAAAGUAGACAAAACAUGGAUAGUAAAUAAUUUGUAACUAUUAAGAAAUUAACGAGAAAAUUUUAUUUUAUUUUCUUAUUAAACUGAUGAUUUCUUAAACAUGUGGAAAAGCAAAAACUAAUCUUUAAGUAGAGGUGCAACCCAUAGAUGGACAUUUUCUUCGAGUAUUUAAAUGGACCGUAACAACCGAGAGCUUGCCUGCUACUACACAACUAUCAUGUAGUUAACACAUUUUUUUUUCAACCACAAGCAAAUAGCAAGGAUAUAAUCCAUUGCUACUCGAUAUUGGCUAAUGACCUUUCAACAAUGCAUAUGGCUGUCGUUGAUUGAUAUUUUUAGAUAAUGUUAAAUUAAAUCAAAUACCAGAAAAAAUGUUUCAAAACAAAAUAAACGUACGUCAAUAUUUUUAAAAUAGAAAGAGAAUAAAACUAGUCAACCAGCCUUUUCGGAUUAUCCAACAAAAAUCUACAACUAAUUAUAUAUACUCCCUCUGUUUCAAAGUGUGUAUGCACAAGAAUUAAAGUAUACACUCUUUUCUAAAAAGUAAUAUUGAAAAUAUAAACCAAAAUUAAUUCAGCCAAUCCUCAAAGAUAAAUAUAAAACAUCAUUGAUCACACACUUUUCAAUAAAACUAAGAUUAAUAUAAAAAUUCAAAACAUCAUCUAUUUUGAAACAUCAAAAACUUUCCAAAACAUCAUCUAUUUUGAAACGGAGGGAGUAUAUAUAUAUGUUCACAUAUGGUUUUGUAUCAUAGAAAAACAAAUAGUCUAUUUGGAAAAGAAGAACUACAAUGUCGUUAAUAAAAUUAGCUAUUUUUUGCAUUAUCCUCGUUUCUUUCGUUAGUCUUCAUGAUUGUAUGUCAUCUAAAGGUUUCGCAAUAAAUUUCAUGCCCUGCAAAAAAGGAGUUGCUGGUGACUGGUGCUGCACUAAAGGAGGGUUAGAAUGCACAAAGGACCACGCAGAAUGUGCGCAAAGCUGCCUUUAACAGGCUAAACCUUAACCAAAUUGUAAUUUUUUUUUAAAAAAUAAUUUUUAAUAAAGAAAUCUUUCCCUUACUAGCAAGAUGGAGUAUAUAAACCUAUAAACCAAAUCCAUAGAUAAUUUGGUUAUUUUAAGUGUAUAUGUGUAAAUUUUUAUAUAUUAUUGUGCAAAUGUGAUAUUUUCUUAUCACUUAUCAAAUAGUAUGUUUGUAAUAUUAUAAAGUUACGCAUUAAUGUUUAGGUAUAUUUAAAUAUUUUCUUACGUAUGCUAUGAAUCCUUUUUAUAGGAUCGUUAAAAGAUACUCCCUCCGUUUCAUAAUACUUGAUGUUUUGUAAUAGUGCACGAAGAUUAAGAAAAUUACAUUUUCCUAGAAAAAUAUUUUAAAGAUAUAAUUUUAAAAUCACUUAACUAAUUAUAAAAAAGACUGUAAAAUCUAAUUGGUUGAACAGUUUCCAAUAAAGUUAAAAUUAACCUUAAAAUCUCAAAACUUCCUUAAAAUCUCAAAACUUCAUGUAAAU
Brassica napus (rape) is the source of this 2299-nucleotide long non-coding RNA. RefSeq lists it as uncharacterized. NCBI's taxonomy places the organism in Eukaryota, Viridiplantae, Streptophyta, Magnoliopsida, Brassicales, Brassicaceae. The transcript is spliced from 2 exons. The record is from RefSeq and is a predicted model, not a curated record.